RNAcentral lists this small RNA (29 nucleotides) under Arabidopsis thaliana (thale cress). Its description in RNAcentral is "ATSL305470". The record is from RNAcentral. Lineage: Eukaryota; Viridiplantae; Streptophyta; Magnoliopsida; Brassicales; Brassicaceae.
GCUUCAAAUCUCUAUGACAUAUUUGCUAC